GGACAAAGCAUGAGUACCAUCUGUCUCCACUAGAGGGUGCUCCUGAGUCUUCUUCCUUACUCCCACCAGAUCCAUUUUUAGGCUGUCAGACACAUUAUAUACUAUAGGGCUUCAUGAUCCUUUUAUUAUCUGAGCUACAUUCUUCAUUAUUUUUUUUUUACAUACUUCAGUAAGUUACCUCUAGGCCAGGGCUCUCUAACCCUGUUCCUGGAGAGAUACCGUCCUAUAGGUGUUCAAUCUAACCCUGUUCCUGGAGAGAUACCGUCCUGUAGGUGUUCAAUCCAACCCUGUUCCUGGAGAGAUACCGUCCUGUAGGUGUUCAAUCUAACCCUGUUCCUGGAGAGAUACCGUCCUAUAGGUGUUCAAUCUAACCCUGUUCCUGGAGAGAUACCGUCCUGUAGGUGUUCAAUCCAACCCUGUUCCUGGAGAGAUACCGUCCUAUAGGUGUUCAAUCUAACCCUGUUCCUGGAGAGAUACCGUCCUGUAGGUGUUCAAUCCAACCCUGUUCCUGGAGAGAUACCGUCCUGUAGGUGUUCAAUCCAACCCUGUUCCUGGAGAGAUACCGUCCUAUAGGUGUUCAAUCCAACCCUGUUCCUGGAGAGAUACCGUCCUGUAGGUGUUCAAUCUAACCCUGUUCCUGGAGAGAUACCGUCCUGUAGGUGUUCAAUCCAACCCUGUUCCUGGAGAGAUACCGUCCUGUAGGUGUUCAAUCUAACCCUGUUCCUGGAGAGAUACCGUCCUGUAGGUCUUCAAUCCAACCCUGUUCCUGGAGAGAUACCGUCCUGUAGGUGUUCAAUCUAACCCUGUUCCUGGAGAGAUACCGUCCUGUAGGUGUUCAAUCCAACCCUGUUCCUGGAGAGAUACCGUCCUGUAGGUGUUCAAUCUAACCCUGUUCCUGGAGAGAUACCGUCCUGUAGGUGUUCAAUCUAACCCUGUUCCUGGAGAGAUACCGUCCUGUAGGUGUUCAAUCCAACCCUGUUCCUGGAGAGAUACCGUCCUGUAGGUGUUCAAUCUAACCCUGUUCCUGGAGAGAUACCGUCCUGUAGGUGUUCAAUCCAACCCUGUUCCUGGAGAGAUACCGUCCUGUAGGUGUUCAAUCCAACCCUGUUCCUGGAGAGAUACCGUCCUAUAGGUGUUCAAUCUAACCCUGUUCCUGGAGAGAUACCGUCCUGUAGGUGUUCAAUCCAACCCUGUUCCUGGAGAGAUACCGUCCUGUAGGUGUUCAAUCCAACCCUGUUCCUGGAGAGACACCGUCCUGUAGGUGUUCAAUCUAACCCUGUUCCUGGAGAGAUACCGUCCUGUAGGUGUUCAAUCCAACCCUGUUCCUGGAGAGAUACCGUCCUGUAGGUGUUCAAUCCAACCCUGUUCCUGGAGAGAUACCGUCCUGUAGGUGUUCAAUCUAACCCUGUUCCUGGAGAGAUACCGUCCUGUAGGUCUUCAAUCCAACCCUGUUCCUGGAGAGAUACCGUCCUGUAGGUGUUCAAUCUAACCCUGUUCCUGGAGAGAUACCGUCCUGUAGGUGUUCAAUCCAACCCUGUUCCUGGAGAGAUACCGUCCUGUAGGUGUUCAAUCUAACCCUGUUCCUGGAGAGAUACCGUCCUGUAGGUGUUCAAUCCAACCCUGUUCCUGGAGAGAUACCGUCCUGUAGGUGUUCAAUCCAACCCUGUUCCAGGAGAGAUACCGUCCUGUAGGUGUUCAAUCCAACCCUGUUCCUGGAGAGAUACCGUCCUAUAGGUGUUCAAUCCAACCCUGUUCCUGGAGAGAUACCGUCCUGUAGGUGUUCAAUCCAACCCUGUUCCUGGAGAGACACCGUCCUGUAGGUGUUCAAUCCAACCCUGUUCCUGGAGAGAUACCGUCCUGUAGGUUUUCAAUCCAACCCUGUUCCUGGAGAGACACCGUCCUGUAGGUGUUCAAUCUAACCCUGUUCCUGGAGAGAUACCGUCCUGUAGGUGUUCAAUCCAACCCUGUUCCUGGAGAGAUACCGUCCUGUAGGUGUUCAAUCCAACCCUGUUCCUGGAGAGAUACCGUCCUGUAGGUGUUCAAUCCAACCCUGUUCCUGGAGAGAUACCGUCCUGUAGGUGUUCAAUCCAACCCUGUUCCUGGAGAGAUACCGUCCUAUAGGUGUUCAAUCCAACCCUGUUCCUGGAGAGAUACCGUCCUGUAGGUGUUCAAUCUAACCCUGUUCCUGGAGAGAUACCGUCCUGUAGGUGUUUAAUCCAACCCUGUUCCUGGAGAG
Oncorhynchus keta (chum salmon) is the source of this 2236-nucleotide long non-coding RNA. RefSeq lists it as uncharacterized. The transcript is spliced from 5 exons. NCBI's taxonomy places the organism in Eukaryota, Metazoa, Chordata, Actinopteri, Salmoniformes, Salmonidae. The record is from RefSeq and is a predicted model, not a curated record.